CUGGGCUUGCAAAUGACUCUAGCUCAAAAUAAAGAAAAACAAAUUGAAAUGAGGAUUUUAAUCACUGUGAAGGGUAUGAAAGGCUGUGUCAGCGUUUCCAUGGUAAAACUACUCAGCUGGAUGAUGAAAAUGGUGAAAACACACUGCAACAUGACUGAGCAGACUUUGAAGUGUCCAAUACAGCAGGGCAUUCUAGGAUCACCUAAUAAAUGGCAGUGCAGUUCCCAACCCCAAACAGAAUAGUAUGUGAAGCCUCAGCACCCUCAUCAGGCCACGUAGGAGCCAACUGUGGUGGCACCAUGCAUGUAAAUGGCUUCAACCAAGUGACCACACUGUAUCCUUUCGUCAUUAAAGAAAUGUCUCCUUCUGCCUUCAGCACUAAGUUGAGUUCAGCUUCCUUGCCCACUGUCACUUUAACCAAGCUGGAGGAGGCACUGCUCCAGCACCCUCCUGCCCCAAGAUCCAGACCCAGACACUGCACCACCCUCUCUAACUGCAUGACAUAGGUGUGGCUUCCUGAUUGUCUACACUUAGUGGUACUGAUACAGUGGUACUGAUGCUAUCACCAAUUGGUCAUCUACCAUAAACCA
This is a long non-coding RNA of Cebus imitator (Panamanian white-faced capuchin), 590 nucleotides long. RefSeq lists it as uncharacterized. Lineage: Eukaryota; Metazoa; Chordata; Mammalia; Primates; Cebidae. The transcript has 3 exons. The record is from RefSeq and is a predicted model, not a curated record.